AGAUUAGCUGCAGUCUCGUGGGCUCGGAGAUGUGUAUAAGAGACAGGCGUAAUAGCUCACUGGUCGAGAGACCCUGCGCCGAAGAUUCCCGGGGCUAAAGUACGAAACCGAAGCUGUGGCUGUAUACGUAAAGUAUACGGGGUAGGGGAGCGUUCCCAUAGGGUAGAAGUCGAACUGGAAGGUUCGGUGGACUUGUGGGAAGUGAGAAUGUUGGUAUGAGUAGCGAAAAGAAAGGUGAGAAUCCUUUCCACCGAAAGCAUAAGGAUUCCUGAGCAACGAUCGUCGUCUCAGGGUAAGUCGGGACCUAAUCCGAGGCAGAGAGCGUAGGAGAUGGACAACUGGUUGAUAUUCCAGUACCGGUAGUAAUUGUUUGAGCAAUGGAGUGACACAGAAGGGCAGGCAAGCAUGCGAAUGGAAGAGCAUGUGUAAGCGUGUAGGGUGGUGCAUAGGCAAAUCCGUGCACUGAAAGCCUGAGGCGUGAUGCGGAGUGAGCAGAGAUGCGAGCGAAGUUGUUGACCCCACACUGUCGAGAAAAGCUUCUAGUGAGAGAGCUACCGCCCGUACCGUAAACCGACACAGGUAUGCGGGGAGAGAAUCCUAAGGUGCGCGGGAGAACCCUCGUUAAGGAACUCGGCAAAAUGUACCCGUAACUUCGGGAUAAGGGUAGCCACUGUUGUGAAGUCCCAUGCGGAUGGAGCAUAGAGUGGUCGCAGAGAAGAGGCCCAAGCGACUGUUUACCAUAAACACAGGUGCCUGCUAAAGCGAAAGCUGACGUAUAGGUGCUGACACCUGCCCAGUGCCGGAAGGUUAAGGAAGGAUGUUCGGAUUAGUCCAAAGCAUUCGACUGAAGCCCCGGUGAACGGCGGCCGUAACUAUAACGGUCCUAAGGUAGCGAAAUUCCUUGUCGGGUAAGUUCCGACCCGCACGAAAGGUGUAACGAUUUGGGCACUGUCUCAACGAGGGACCCGGUGAAAUUGAAAUACCUGUGAAGAUGCAGGUUACCCGCGACUGGACAGAAAGACCCCAUGGAGCUUUACUGUAACCUGACAUUGGGUUUUGAUACAUUACGUACAGGAUAGGUGGGAGGCUUGGAAAGUUGGACGCUAGUCUGACUGGAGCCGACGUUGGGAUACCACCCUUGAUGUAUUGAAAUUCUAACCGCGAGAGUAACGAAAUCCGGGACAGUGUCAGGCGGGCAGUUUGACUGGGGCGGUCGCCUCCGAAAGAGUAACGGAGGCGCCCAAAGGUUCCCUCAGCGCGGCCGGAAAUCGCGCGAAGAGUGUAAAGGCAGAAGGGAGCUUGACUGCGAGUCAAACACGACGAGCAGGUACGAAAGUAGGGCUUAGUGAUCCGGUGGUACCGAGUGGAAGGGCCAUCGCUCAACGGAUAAAAGCUACCCUGGGGAUAACAGGCUAAUCUCUCCCAAGAGUCCAUAUCGACGGGGAGGUUUGGCACCUCGAUGUCGGCUCAUCACAUCCUGGGGCUGAAGUCGGUCCCAAGGGUUGGGCUGUUCGCCCAUUAAAGUGGUACGUGAGCUGGGUUCAGAACGUCGUGAGACAGUUCGGUCCCUAUCCAUCGCGGGCGCAAGAGAUUUGAAGGGGGCUGCUCCUAGUACGAGAGGACCGGAGUGGACGAACCGCUGGUGUACCAAUUAUCCCGCCAGGGGUACAGUUGGGUAGCUACGUUCGGAAAGGAUAAACGCUGAAAGCAUCUAAGCGUGAAACCAGCCUUAAGAUGAGAUCUCUCAUAGAGCAAUCUAGUAAGACACCUUAAAGAAGAUGAGGUUGAUAGGUCGGGAGUGUAAGUACAGCAAUGUAUUGAGCGGACCGAUACUAAUAUGUCGAGGGCUUGACUUA
RNAcentral lists this ribosomal RNA (1856 nucleotides) under human gut metagenome. Its description in RNAcentral is "bacterial LSU rRNA". It matches the Rfam family "Bacterial large subunit ribosomal RNA", at positions 1090 to 2925 of the family's 2925-position model. The record is from RNAcentral.